UACGUAGGCAGCAAGCGUUGUUCGGAAUUACUGGGCGUAAAGAGUGUGUAGGCGGUGCUCUAAGUUCGGUGUGAAAUCUCCCGGCUCAACUGGGAGGGUGCGCCGAAAACUGGAGUGCUGGAGCGCGGGAGAGGAAAGCGGAAUUCCUGGUGUAGCGGUGAAAUGCGUAGAUAUCAGGAAGAACACCCGUGGCGAAGGCGGCUCUCUGGGACGGUACUGACGCUGAGACGCGAAAGCGUGGGGAGCGAACAGG
RNAcentral lists this ribosomal RNA (253 nucleotides) under uncultured bacterium. Its description in RNAcentral is "partial 16S ribosomal RNA". It matches the Rfam family "Bacterial small subunit ribosomal RNA", at positions 524 to 776 of the family's 1533-position model. The record is from RNAcentral.